AUUUUAAACCGUAGUAGUCGCUUCCUCAUCUUAGGGUGGGGGAGAGGAAAGUCCGAGCACCAUAGAGCAAGGUGACCGUUAAUGACGUGUCGGGUUCCGAGCAAUCGGGAUCAAGGGAAAGUGCCGCAGAGACGAGCCAGUCUUUCUCACCAUUUAUCGAGAGAGGAUAAGGCUGAAACGUCCGUGUUAAUUUAUACGGUCUCCCCGGUAGUAAUAUCGGGGGGUGGUAAACCCCACUUGGUGCAAGGUUGUAUGGGGGAGUGGAUUCAUCAGCUGCUCGCUGAACCAUUCCUGCAACCGCUAAACGUCCCCGCCAAGGCGGGGAAUAAGAUAGAUGACUACUUCCUGUGUAGCUUUAUGCGAAGCGGGAACAGAACUCGGCUUAUGAGUUUACAAUAAAC
RNAcentral lists this RNase P RNA (401 nucleotides) under Patescibacteria group bacterium. RNAcentral's name for it is "RNase P RNA component class A". It matches the Rfam family "Bacterial RNase P class A". Rfam says of the family: Ribonuclease P (RNase P) is a ubiquitous endoribonuclease, found in archaea, bacteria and eukarya as well as chloroplasts and mitochondria. Its best characterised activity is the generation of mature 5'-ends of tRNAs by cleaving the 5'-leader elements of precursor-tRNAs. Cellular RNase Ps are ribonucleoproteins. The record is from RNAcentral.